GACGAACGCUGGCGGCGUGCCUAACACAUGCAAGUCGAACGGAAAGGCCCUGCUUUUGUGGGGUGCUCGAGUGGCGAACGGGUGAGUAACACGUGAGUAACCUGCCCUUGACUUUGGGAUAACUUCAGGAAACUGGGGCUAAUACCGGAUAGGAGCUCCUGCUGCAUGGUGGGGGUUGGAAAGUUUCGGCGGUUGGGGAUGGACUCGCGGCUUAUCAGCUUGUUGGUGGGGUAGGGGCUUACCAAGGCUUUGACGGGUAGCCGGCCUGAGAGGGUGACCGGCCACAUUGGGACUGAGAUACGGCCCAGACUGCUACGGGAGGCAGCAGUGGGGAAUAUUGCACAAUGGGCGGAAGCCUGAUGCAGCAACGCCGCGUGCGGGAUGACGGCCGUCGGGUUGUAAACCGCUUUCGCCUGUGACGAAGCGUGAGUGACGGUAAUGGGUAAAGAAGCACCGGCUAACUACGUG
RNAcentral lists this ribosomal RNA (468 nucleotides) under uncultured bacterium. RNAcentral's name for it is "partial 16S ribosomal RNA". It matches the Rfam family "Bacterial small subunit ribosomal RNA", at positions 28 to 507 of the family's 1533-position model. The record is from RNAcentral.